Osmerus eperlanus (European smelt) is the source of this 565-nucleotide long non-coding RNA. RefSeq lists it as uncharacterized. Lineage: Eukaryota; Metazoa; Chordata; Actinopteri; Osmeriformes; Osmeridae. The transcript is spliced from 4 exons. The record is from RefSeq and is a predicted model, not a curated record.
GUAAUACACUGACAGCUCUGAUACCUUCUGUCAAGACGUGAGGUGGGGUUGGACCCAAACGCAGGGGAGUCGGCAGGCAUGGCAGAAACAAGGGUUUUAUUUCUCAAAAACGGGAACAGCUAGAGUACUCACACGGACAGGUAUGGUAAGGACAAGACCAAGACUGGACACAAAACAGAAACCUAAAUACACAGAACCAAACGACACACAGGUGGACACAAUAACGCUAACGAGAACAGGUGAGGGAGCUGGAGACAGAGGUGGAGUUGGAGCAGAGGAAAGGAGGUGAUUCAAUGAAAGGAGUCCGUAAAUAUGAGACGCAUCAAGGAGCUCACCUACCAGACUGAGGAGGACCGUAAGAACUUGAGCCGUCUGCAAGACCUGGUAGACAAACUGCAGCUGAAAGUCAAGUCCUACAAGAGAACUGCAGAGGAGGCUAAAGGACAUGAUGAAGAAUGAAGCUUUCAGAAGGACCUUUUAAAAUGUGUGGAUAGCAGAGCCUUAUUCUCUUCACUAUAAUCAAUGUAACUUGGCAAAAUAGAGAAUAAAGUCAGUUGAAAUCUCA